This 72-nucleotide transfer RNA is filed under the name Bos taurus (domestic cattle). It matches the Rfam family "tRNA". Rfam says of the family: Transfer RNA (tRNA) molecules are approximately 80 nucleotides in length. Their secondary structure includes four short double-helical elements and three loops (D, anti-codon, and T loops). Lineage: Eukaryota; Metazoa; Chordata; Mammalia; Artiodactyla; Bovidae. The record is from Rfam by way of RNAcentral. RNAcentral also lists the same sequence under 5 other names.
UCCCUCAUAAUUCAGUUGGUGAAGAAUCUGCCUGCAAUGCAGGAGACCCAGGUUCGAUUCCUGGGUGGGGAA